CUUCUGACUCUAUGGAUUUACUUAUUCUGGGUAUUCUGGGGUAGAGAAAAGAGGAAAAACCUAGUCGCCUGGGGUCUGUACGUCAAAAGCGGAUUCUCUGAGGGCCUAUGGUCGAGGGAGCACUGGGCCAGGAGUCUCGAGGCCUGUGUGUGCAUGCUCAGUCAUGUCCGACUCUUUGUGACCCCAUGGACUGCAGCCCGCCAGGCUCCUCUGUCCCUGGAAAAUCCAGGCAAGAAUACUGGCGUGGGUUGCCAUUUCCUCCUCCAGGGGAUCGUCCUGAACCAGGGACUGAACCCACAUCGCCUUGUGUCCUGCAUUGGCAGGCAGAUUCUUUACCACUGAGCCACCUGGGAAACCCCCCGAGGUCUGUGAUAGAUCCCAGUUCUGCUCCUAAUUCAGGGGCCUCCCCUCCCCUGUUCACCGGCCUGGGGGACUUCAGGCCAGUCUAGUAUCCUCAGCCUUCAGAUCAUACCCUUGUCUGGAGGCUUCUGUCUGGGAUUGUGGAGCCUGACCUGAAAAAUAUUCCUCUUUGAUCCUCUUGGCUCCUUCCUGCCAGGCCCAGGCAGUGAAGAUGGCCCCAGGGGACGGUGUAAUACCGCAGUUUGGGGUCAGAGGCAUGAGAUGAGGAAACUUCAGCUCUGAGAGGUUGAGAAACUUGCCCAAGGCCACAUAACUCCUGCUGCACUGGAGUGGCAGCUGGUUCAGUCUGAUUGUGUUCUGGAACUCUUGACCACAGUGUCCUCCUGUCUUCAAAGAGAUAAAGUAAGUUAAGGGCUUAGCGAAAUGCCAGCUGUGUGGGAGGUGCUCUUAAAUGGAAGCAGCUACAAAUUUUACUACAUUCUGGAACACUGUGUAAUCCUGAAGUGAAUAGCUCCAGUCCAAGGUGAUUCUUGGUAAAUUCUUGGUAAAAAACAAUCCACCUGCAAUGCAGGAGACCCUGAUUCGGUCCCUGGGUGGGAAAGAUCCCCUGGAGGAGGAAAUGGCAACCUACUCCAGUAUUCUUGCCUGGGAAAUCCCAUGGACAAAGGAGCCUGGCAGGCUACAGUCCAUGGUAUCACCAAGAGUCAGACAUGCUGCUGCUGCUGCUGCUGCUAAGUCGCUUCAGUCGUGUCCGACUCUGUGCGACCCGAUAGACGGCAGCCUGCUAGACUUAGCCACUAAACCACAUAAACCAAGGUGGUUCUUGGGAGUUCCUCUCUCCCCACUUGCCUCAUCUUUGUCCUCCACUGGCCUCCCUAGGAUGACAGCUCCUGUAAGGACCAAGGGGUUGCCUGGACCCCAAGUCUUUAAGACAGGAACCCUUCCAAGAUGGAAACGCCCAGAUCAGCCCUCUGGAUGCCUGCUGUCUCCUUCCUCAGGAUGACCAGGUAGGGCCCCCUCCCCUGCUCUGUCCCUAACCGAGUC
RNAcentral lists this long non-coding RNA (1404 nucleotides) under Bos indicus x Bos taurus (hybrid cattle). RNAcentral's name for it is "lncRNA (ENSBIXG00000015844.1)". The record is from RNAcentral. Lineage: Eukaryota; Metazoa; Chordata; Mammalia; Artiodactyla; Bovidae.